RNAcentral lists this long non-coding RNA (244 nucleotides) under Mytilus galloprovincialis (Mediterranean mussel). Lineage: Eukaryota; Metazoa; Mollusca; Bivalvia; Mytilida; Mytilidae. The record is from RNAcentral.
GAAAUAUUAUCCAUUUUUUUUUCCUGAAUACGAAACGCGCCUCUGGUGUAAAUAUAAAAUUUCAAUCCUGGUAUCUACGAUGAGUUUAUUUACACGGACUCACAAAAUGUAUAGACAAAAUGACGUCAUAACAUACAAUUAGAUAAUUUCAGUCUUUGAGAUGAGCAAAAAUUAAACCACAGAUAAACAAAUAAUGCAUAUACAUGUCUAACAAUUUUGUUUUGCAAAAAGAACUUUUAAAAGG